Molecule: ribosomal RNA, 254 nt
Filed under: uncultured bacterium
Lineage: Bacteria
Description: partial 16S ribosomal RNA
Rfam family: Bacterial small subunit ribosomal RNA
Source: RNAcentral
UACAGAGGGUGCGAGCGUUGUCCGGAAUCACUGGGCGUAAAGGGCGCGUAGGUGGCGACCCAAGUCGAUGGUGAAAGCUCGCCGCUCAACGGCGAGUCGGCCACCGAUACUGGGUUGCUCGAGCACUGUAGAGGCUCAUGGAAUUCCGGGUGUAGCGGUGGAAUGCGUAGAGAUCCGGAAGAACACCGGUGGCGAAGGCGGUGAGCUGGGCAGUUGCUGACACUGAGGCGCGGACAGCGUGGGGAGCAAACAGG